AGGCACAAAUGUACAGUAACGUGGUUUAGCAAUUUUUUUUAAAAAAAAGAAAAAAACAAAACAUGAUCUUUUGUACUAUAGUUUGAGAUAUCCUGUGAUGAUAUUAAAAAAAGAUUGAGGCUUUUGUGCUUCAGUUACACUUCUUUAAAAGACACAACCAACAAUUUGUUUAUAUCACAAAUAUGCAAACGUUUCAAUGAAAAAAAUAUUUUCUAUUUUUUAAAGGUUACUCUAAUAGUUCCCAAUAGAUUGCUGAAUCUACUCAGUUAAAAAGUGUAAUUAAAAUACGAGAUGCAGUUACCCGAUGUUCAAAAAAAAAACAAACAAAAAACAGAAAAGAUAUAUUUUAGACUAUUUGAAAUUUGCACCAUAUUGAUUGGAUGGUGGAAAACCUGCAUCAAAUCAAAAUGAGUCUGAUGACAGAGGGUGAUAAAGAUACAGAUGAAUUUAAUAUUGAUAAUGAAGAUAACGAUAACAUGAUUUCAUCAAGAUUGUUUUAAAAACAAUUUUAAUUUUGUAUAAAUUUUUGUUCUAAAAAUGUUUAAAUUA
Hydra vulgaris (swiftwater hydra) is the source of this 549-nucleotide long non-coding RNA. RefSeq lists it as uncharacterized. The record is from RefSeq and is a predicted model, not a curated record. Lineage: Eukaryota; Metazoa; Cnidaria; Hydrozoa; Anthoathecata; Hydridae.